AGUACUAGUAGCUUAGACACAAAGCAUCGGUCUUGUAAUCCGAAGACCGGAGGUUAAACCCCUCCCUAGUGCCAC
Molecule: transfer RNA, 75 nt
Filed under: Metynnis hypsauchen
Lineage: Eukaryota; Metazoa; Chordata; Actinopteri; Characiformes; Serrasalmidae
Description: tRNA-Thr
Rfam family: tRNA
About the family: Transfer RNA (tRNA) molecules are approximately 80 nucleotides in length. Their secondary structure includes four short double-helical elements and three loops (D, anti-codon, and T loops).
Source: RNAcentral